Molecule: long non-coding RNA, 795 nt
Organism: Suricata suricatta (meerkat)
Lineage: Eukaryota; Metazoa; Chordata; Mammalia; Carnivora; Herpestidae
Exons: 3
Source: RefSeq, a predicted model, not a curated record
AGAGAGUGGACUUUGAAAUCAUAAAGUGCCAGAAUCAAUUCUCAGUUUCAUGAGGGAUCAGGUAACAAAACUAUCACGAUUCCGCCUUUUACUUUCUGCUGGAUUCUUGUAGUAAUUAUAACCAGGAUCUUCAGCCAUCUCUUCUAUUAGGAGCCUGAGAGGUUUGUAGCCUCUGAAGAUAAUUUGGGUGUCAGUUGGAAGUCAGCCCAGAAUUGAAAGCCUGCUCUUGCUCUAAGAUGUCACCUGGGACCGUAUCAUCAAUCUGCCCACCUCUCCUGAAUGGCCCUGAUGUCGAUCAGUCUGGUUUCCCGGAGUAUUAAAGUAAUGGGCUCCUGGCUCUAUUUCAGCUCUGUCAAAAUAGCUGCCGAGCCUUUCUAUUGCUUUCCUACAAGGAUUUAAUCUACUCCAAGUUCCCUGACACAUUAUAAGGAGGAAAUCUGUUUUCUCUGUCACUUUUCCUUUCUCAGGCUGGGGCUGCACCAGAACAUCUUUGCUUUGGAUCAGACAGUGCAGACUUGCUAUGAAAGCCGGCGUUCUCAUCCGUGCUAUGAGUUGUCUAACUUAAUCGCCUUGUUUCUCCACACCCCUGAGGCUUUCUGCACGGUGCUCUCUCUGAAAGGGAGACCUUCUAUAUACUCUUGCACAACUUAUUUUCACCUCCACUGUGAAGCGUUUGACCCCUCAAGGAGAAAAAACUACUUGUGGACCUGCAAAAUUCUUUUAAUGCCUAUAAUACUCUUGUGCUGUCUUUUAUUUGUUACUACUAUCUUUUUCUCCUAUUGGACAAUAAACUCU